This 807-nucleotide long non-coding RNA is filed under the name Bos taurus (domestic cattle). Its description in RNAcentral is "long non-coding RNA NONBTAT013611". Lineage: Eukaryota; Metazoa; Chordata; Mammalia; Artiodactyla; Bovidae. The record is from RNAcentral.
CAGCGUCUCUGGACAAGUCCUCUGUCCUCACGACACAACUGUGCCAACUCCAGGUGAGCCUUGGGCCCUGAGAAAUGGCACCCAACGUUCCUUUCAGGAUAUAUUCCUCAAAGAGCAACCACUCAAAAUGUCACCCUAGCAAACACUGGGGUGGCCCUGUGGUGGGAGGCACGUCAGACCCCCCAGAGCCACAGCCAGGCCUCUCGAGGGGGGCGGGGCAAAGACUGGAGGGGAUUCUCUCCUCCCCCCACAACAGAACCCACCCGGAAACAAGAGGCAAAGCCCUGCAGCUGUACCGGCCACUCCACCAUCACUCUGAACCAAUGGUUCUUAUUUACAUGAGUUAUCAGAUGGUUAAAUAGCUCACAUCUACGAAGAACAUAUCCGGGUCCAAUGCUGUGCUGGACUAAAUAAGCAUGACACUGUGAGAAAAUCACAGCUUAUCUUAACGAGAGACAAGAAAGCUUGCUACCAAGAAUCGUCAACGAGCUGCACCGACGGCACAGUUCCCACGGACAGGGUCGGCUCCUGGAGGACCUCUCAAGGCUCUCGUACAGGCAGAGGGCACGUGUUUCCAGCCUACGCUGGCAGGACACAAAGAAUGGACCCUCUCCAGGCAGGCCUUCCCUGGCUGGACCCAGGGACCCACAGCUAACUCAGCCGCUUAACACCAGCCUCCUGUCUCAGGCCACGUUUCUGCACAGGUCACCCUGAGCCUGAGGCGCACCCAGCAAUGGAACUGAGUUAGGGUCCGGGGUUUUGACAAUGAAGCAAGGCAAGUCAGCAGACAUCUACCACAUGCCAGCA